This 817-nucleotide ribosomal RNA is filed under the name uncultured Prevotellaceae bacterium. RNAcentral describes it as "bacterial SSU rRNA". It matches the Rfam family "Bacterial small subunit ribosomal RNA", at positions 70 to 883 of the family's 1533-position model. Lineage: Bacteria; Pseudomonadati; Bacteroidota; Bacteroidia; Bacteroidales; Prevotellaceae. The record is from RNAcentral.
CAUAGAAGAAGCUUGCUUCUUCUGAUGGCGACCGGCGCACGGGUGCGUAACGCGUAUCAAACCUGCCUCAUACUCGGGGAUAGCCUUGCGAAAGUAAGAUUAAUACCCGAUGUUGUUAUGUUGCCGCAUGGUGAUAUAACCAAAGAUUUAUCGGUAUGAGAUGGUGAUGCGUCCGAUUAGGUAGUAGGCGGGGUAACGGCCCACCUAGCCAUCGAUCGGUAGGGGUUCUGAGAGGAAGGUCCCCCACACUGGAACUGAGACACGGUCCAGACUCCUACGGGAGGCAGCAGUGAGGAAUAUUGGUCAAUGGACGGAAGUCUGAACCAGCCAAGUAGCGUGCAGGAUGACGGCCCUCUGGGUUGUAAACUGCUUUUAGUUGGGAAUAAAAAAGAGGACGUGUCCUCUAUUGUAUGUACCUUCAGAAAAAGGACCGGCUAAUUCCGUGCCAGCAGCCGCGGUAAUACGGAAGGUCCAGGCGUUAUCCGGAUUUAUUGGGUUUAAAGGGAGCGUAGGCGGAUUAUUAAGUCAGUGGUGAAAGACGGUGGCUCAACCAUCGUUAGCCAUUGAAACUGGUAGUCUUGAGUGCAGACAGGGAUGCUGGAACUCGUGGUGUAGCGGUGAAAUGCUUAGAUAUCACGAUGAGCUCCGAUCGCGAAGGCAGGUGUCCGGGCUGCAACUGACGCUGAGGCUCGAAAGUGUGGGUAUCAAACAGGAUUAGAUACCCUGGUAGUCCACACAGUAAGCGAUGUAUACUCGCGGUUUGCGAUAUAGUGUAAGCCGCCAAGCGAAAGCAUUAAGUAUACCACCUGGGGAGUAC